GCCGAGGUGGUGAAAUUGGUAGACACGCCGGAUUCAAAAUCCGGUUCUUUUUAAGAGUGUGGGUUCGAAUCCCACCCUCGGUA
Molecule: transfer RNA, 83 nt
Filed under: bacterium TMED6
Lineage: Bacteria
Description: tRNA-Leu
Rfam family: tRNA
About the family: Transfer RNA (tRNA) molecules are approximately 80 nucleotides in length. Their secondary structure includes four short double-helical elements and three loops (D, anti-codon, and T loops).
Source: RNAcentral